GUGGGGAAUUUUGGACAAUGGGCGAAAGCCUGAUCCAGCAAUGCCGCGUGUGUGAAGAAGGCCUUCGGGUUGUAAAGCACUUUUGGCAGGGAAGAAACAGUGCGUGCUAAUACCAUGCGCGAAUGACGGUACCUGCAGAAUAAGCACCGGCUAACUACGUGCCAGCAGCCGCGGUAAUACGUAGGGUGCAAGCGUUAAUCGGAAUUACUGGGCGUAAAGCGUGCGCAGGCGGCUUCGUAAGACGGAUGUGGAAGCCCCGGGCUCAACCUGGGAAGUGCAUUCGUGACUGCAAGGCUAGAGUGUGUCAGAGGGAGGUGGAAUUCCGCGUGUAGCAGUGAAAUGCGUAGAGAUGCGGAGGAACACCGAUGGCGAAGGCAGCCUCCUGGGAUAACACUGACGCUCAGGCACGAAAGCGUGGGGAGCAAACAGGAUUAGAAACCCGGGUAGUCC
This 450-nucleotide ribosomal RNA is filed under the name uncultured bacterium. Its description in RNAcentral is "partial 16S ribosomal RNA". It matches the Rfam family "Bacterial small subunit ribosomal RNA", at positions 354 to 796 of the family's 1533-position model. The record is from RNAcentral.